RNAcentral lists this transfer RNA (72 nucleotides) under Marmota monax (woodchuck). RNAcentral's name for it is "tRNA.Ala". Lineage: Eukaryota; Metazoa; Chordata; Mammalia; Rodentia; Sciuridae. The record is from RNAcentral.
AGAGCUGUAGCUCAGUGGUAGAGCACUUGCCUAGCAUGUUUGUGGCACUGUGUUCAGUCCUCAACAUCUCAC